RNAcentral lists this transfer RNA (73 nucleotides) under Elusimicrobiota bacterium. Its description in RNAcentral is "Elusimicrobia bacterium (rhizosphere metagenome) tRNA-Ile". It matches the Rfam family "tRNA". Rfam says of the family: Transfer RNA (tRNA) molecules are approximately 80 nucleotides in length. Their secondary structure includes four short double-helical elements and three loops (D, anti-codon, and T loops). Further hydrogen bonds mediate the characteristic L-shaped molecular structure. tRNAs have two regions of fundamental functional importance: the anti-codon, which is responsible for specific mRNA codon recognition, and the 3' end, to which the tRNAs corresponding amino acid is attached (by aminoacyl-tRNA synthetases). tRNAs cope with the degeneracy of the genetic code in two manners: having more than one tRNA (with a specific anti-codon) for a particular amino acid; and 'wobble' base-pairing, i.e. permitting non-standard base-pairing at the 3rd anti-codon position. The record is from RNAcentral. Lineage: Bacteria; Pseudomonadati; Elusimicrobiota.
GGGCCCUUAGCUCAGCGGUUAGAGCGCUCCGCUCAUAACGGACUGGUCGGUGGUUCGACUCCACCAGGGCCCA